This 213-nucleotide unclassified non-coding RNA is filed under the name plant metagenome. Its description in RNAcentral is "partial contains small subunit ribosomal RNA, internal transcribed spacer 1, and 5.8S ribosomal RNA". The record is from RNAcentral.
UUUCCGUAGGUGAACCUGCGGAAGGAUCAUUCAUAAUAAGUGUUUUAUGGCACUUUUUUAAAUCCAUAUCCACCUUGUGUGCAAUGUCAUGGUUGAUUUUUCUCUCGAGAGGAUCGGCCCCAAACAUCAACUAUAUCUCAACUCUUUGUCUGAAAAAUAUUAUGAAUAAAACAAUACAAAAUACAACUUUCAACAACGGAUCUCUUGGCUCUC